Molecule: long non-coding RNA, 419 nt
Organism: Oreochromis aureus
Lineage: Eukaryota; Metazoa; Chordata; Actinopteri; Cichliformes; Cichlidae
Exons: 3
Source: RefSeq, a predicted model, not a curated record
AGAAGAGCAAACAUAGCUUCAGGAGAAAUAUCGCCAAAUACUUGUGUUUUUCUGCUGUUGUCAAAAGCUUCAGUAAAACAUAAAUCUUUAUUAAAAUACUUCUAUUAUUCAGAGACAGCUGGACUAAUUCUGAACUCAGGAUCUUUAAACCUGAAACGAUGAGCCAUUCAGACAGUGGCAAUGUGGGGGAAGAUGAAGUUUUUGAACCUCAACAUGAACAAGUAAACAGAGGGUCAAAGGUCACCACAAAAAUAGGGGUGGUGGUGGUUGUCUGUGUUCUCCUGGCAACUGCUGUCUUUUUGACGUUCUACUUCUGGUGAUUUACUGGAACAACAAAGAACCAGACAACUGGUUCCUCAUACCAGCAACUGGUAUGAGGAAAAUCCUGAUGGAGAAGUCUGUGACAGGACGGAGGUAAA